AACGCGAAGAACCUUACCAGGUCUUGACAUCCCGAUGACCGCUUCAGAGAUGGAGCUUCUCUUCGGAGCAUUGGAGACAGGUGGUGCAUGGUUGUCGUCAGCUCGUGUCGUGAGAUGUUGGGUUAAGUCCCGCAACGAGCGCAACCCUUGAUCUUAGUUGCCAGCACUUCGGGUGGGCCCUCUAAGAUGACUGCCGGUGACAAACCGGAGGAAGGUGGGGAUGACGUCAAAUCAUCAUGCCCCUUAUGACCUGGGCUACACACGUACUACAAUGGUCGGUACAACGGGCAGCGAAGGAGCGAUCUGGAGCGAAUCCUUAAAAGCCGAUCUCAGUUCGGAUUGCAGGCUGCAACUCGCCUGCAUGAAGUCGGAAUUGCUAGUAAUCGCGGAUCAGCAUGCCGCGGUGAAUACGUUCCCGGGUCUUGUACACACCG
Molecule: ribosomal RNA, 434 nt
Filed under: uncultured bacterium
Lineage: Bacteria
Description: bacterial SSU rRNA
Rfam family: Bacterial small subunit ribosomal RNA
Source: RNAcentral